UACGUAGGGUGCAAGCGUUGUCCGGAAUUAUUGGGCGUAAAGAGCUCGUAGGCGGUCUGUCGCGUCUGCUGUGAAAACUCAGGGCUUAACUCUGAGCUUGCAGUGGGUACGGGCAGACUAGAGUGCGGUAGGGGAGACUGGAAUUCCUGGUGUAGCGGUGAAAUGCGCAGAUAUCAGGAGGAACACCGAUGGCGAAGGCAGGUCUCUGGGCCACUACUGACGCUGAGAAGCGAAAGCAUGGGGAGCGAACAGG
Molecule: ribosomal RNA, 253 nt
Filed under: uncultured bacterium
Lineage: Bacteria
Description: partial 16S ribosomal RNA
Rfam family: Bacterial small subunit ribosomal RNA
Source: RNAcentral